Molecule: ribosomal RNA, 119 nt
Filed under: Pteropus alecto (black flying fox)
Lineage: Eukaryota; Metazoa; Chordata; Mammalia; Chiroptera; Pteropodidae
Source: RNAcentral
GUCUAUGGCCAUGUCAUCCCGAACAAGACCGAUCCCGUUUGACCUCGGAAGCCAAGCAGGGUUGGGCCCGGUUAGUACUUGGAUGGGAGACCACCUAGGAAGGCCAGGUGCUGUAGGCA